AAUGGUAUUACUGGAUCAUAUGGUAAUUGUGUUUAAUUUUUAAGGAACCACCGUACUAUUUUCCACAGCAACUAUACCGUUUUACAUUCCCAUCAGCAGU
Molecule: microRNA precursor, 100 nt
Filed under: Marmota monax (woodchuck)
Lineage: Eukaryota; Metazoa; Chordata; Mammalia; Rodentia; Sciuridae
Source: RNAcentral